UCUGGAGAGAGCCAGACUGUUGCAGGGCGCGGCUUGCACGUUGCAGACGAAAAGUGCACUGCGGACCCGAGAUAUUAGGUGGGGGCCGCACCGCGUGUCCGCGGCAGCGCAGGAAUCAGAAGCUGUGUGUCCUGCGAGGCCAGGGGCCAGAAGACCCAGUGUUAGCUUUUCCUGCCACUGAGCAAGCACAGGCCCUGCGCUGCUCCGGGCCUGCUUUCUCCCUAUAGGGGAAAUGCUCUGCCCAGCUCCCUCCUUCAGUUGAUGUACAGGUCAAGGCCACUCGUAUUUUCUCAGUCAUGUUCCCUACUUGAGCCAGAAACCGGGCCCUGAUGUGUUGCAGAACCACUGUGGCAUUUAUGAAGUGCCGUGUAAAAGUAUUAUCAGAAAUGCUUGCUCAGCACCCUGAAGUCGCCUGCCUCCCAAGCUGCCUGAUUCCUAGGAGACUCUUCCCUUCAUCUUCACUUUAACACGCGGGGGGAUCCUGAAGCGGGAUGGAAGAAGGGUACCACCUGGACUGGUGGCCCUCCUGAAACCUCCAGGAACACUUGAAAGAAGUCUCCCCCUCCCCCUUUUUUAAAACUGCAUUUGGAUCAAUGGAUUAAUCAGUUCACAGAUUAUUGUCAUGUUUGGUUGAGAGAGGAAGUCGGGUAACAAAAUUGACGGCGAACUUUCUAGACCGAAAUGAUAUUGUACGGAGCCUGGACCAAUUGCCUUGUUAAAGGAGAGCGGACCCUCUCGCUUCGCCGUCUGGGUCGGCCCUGGAGGGGCGAGAGCAUCAGUGUCCCGGCUGAAGCACCUAUUGCGCGGACAGCACGACCGUCGGGCCGGACCCCGGCCUUUCCCGCGCGCUGCCCACGGGGCACGAGGGGGCUUUCGCAGAAUAUACGGAGCUUGCCAAGGCCUGCUAAGGAGGCUUCCAGAAUCCACUGACCAAAACUGGAAUGUUUAAUACUCCAUAGUAAAAAAACACACAAAAAAACCAAAGAAAAAAACCCCACAAAGUAAAAACCAGAACCAUGGAAUUCUGAGUCCCACCUGUUAAAUUAUUUGCCCUUCUAAUAGGAGCGGGAUUGAAAGGCGUAUGUUCAACAUCAUCUUGGACCCAUUUUCUGUGGCGGGAAACCAAGAGGCAGCAACAUCAAGCGUUUGGGACUCAUCUGGCUCCUGAUGCAGAGAACACUUGCUCUCGAAUGUGGAGUUUCUUCUUCUCCCUGGUGUCCCUGGGCGUCCUGGGAGUAGAGACGCCUUCAGCUGCGGGGACCACACCAGUUUCCUGAGUUUCCAGGCUUCCAUGAGGUUUGGUUUUUAAUGAAAAAGGUUAUCUUAAAAAUUCCAGGGAUUU
Molecule: long non-coding RNA, 1342 nt
Organism: Miniopterus natalensis
Lineage: Eukaryota; Metazoa; Chordata; Mammalia; Chiroptera; Miniopteridae
Source: RefSeq, a predicted model, not a curated record